UAACACAUGCAAGUCGAACGGAGUUUAUACGGAAAGUGUCUUCGGACACCGGAAGUAUAAACUUAGUGGCGGACGGGUGAGUAACGCGUGGGUAACCUGCCUUAUACAAGGGGAUAACAGAGGGAAACUUCUGCUAAUACCGUAUAAAAAUAUUUCACGCAUGUGAGAUAUUUGAAAGAUUUAUCAGUAUAAGAUGGACCCGCGUCUGAUUAGGUAGUUGGUGAGGUAGAGGCUCACCAAGCCGACGAUCGGUAGCCGAUCUGAGAGGAUGACCGGCCACAUUGGGACUGAGACACGGCCCAAACUCCUACGGGAGGCAGCAGUGGGGAAUAUUGGACAAUGGGGGCAACCCUGAUCCAGCAACGCCGCGUGAGUGAAGAAGUAUUUCGGUAUGUAAAGCUCUAUCGAUAACCGGAAGAAGAUGACAAGCCGUUAAGGAAGAGCCCC
Molecule: ribosomal RNA, 447 nt
Filed under: Lachnospiraceae bacterium oral taxon 100
Lineage: Bacteria; Bacillati; Bacillota; Clostridia; Lachnospirales; Lachnospiraceae
Description: bacterial SSU rRNA
Rfam family: Bacterial small subunit ribosomal RNA
Source: RNAcentral